RNAcentral lists this ribosomal RNA (497 nucleotides) under uncultured bacterium. RNAcentral's name for it is "partial 16S ribosomal RNA". It matches the Rfam family "Bacterial small subunit ribosomal RNA", at positions 28 to 507 of the family's 1533-position model. The record is from RNAcentral.
GAUGAACGCUGGCGGCGUGCCUAAUACAUGCAAGUCGAGCGAACAGACGAGGAGCUUGCUCCUCUGACGUUAGCGGCGGACGGGUGAGUAACACGUGGAUAACCUACCUAUAAGACUGAGAUAACUUCGGGAAACCGGAGCUAAUACCGGAUAAUAUGUUGAAUCGCAUGGUUCAACAGUGAAAGACGGUCUUGCUGUCACUUAUAGAUGGAUCCGCGCCGCAUUAGCUAGUUGGUAAGGUAACGGCUUACCAAGGCAACGAUGCGUAGCCGACCUGAGAGGGUGAUCGGCCACACUGGAACUGAGACACGGUCCAGACUCCUACGGGAGGCAGCAGUAGGGAAUCUUCCGCAAUGGGCGAAAGCCUGACGGAGCAACGCCGCGUGAGUGAAGAAGGUCUUCGGAUCGUAAAACUCUGUUAUUAGGGAAGAACAAAUGUGUAAGUAACUAUGCACGUCUUGACGGUACCUAAUCAGAAAGCCACGGCUAACUACGUG